GGUACCUUCUACCAGUCAUCCAGUGUCAUUCAAAGUUACUAGAGCAGAAAUUGAAACCUUGAAGAAAGUGAUACAUUGUAUACAUGGUAAUUAACCAAUAGAACAUAUUUUUUUUUAAAGCUAUUCUUAUAUCAGACAACUUUCAUGUAGUUGUCAAAACAAAUAGAGAACUGUUAAUAAAUUGUGCUACUUUUAUUCUGUUGUUCAUAUUUUUUAAGCCUUUUUUCAACUGGACUAGUACUGAUCCUUUUAAUUUCUAUAAACACAUUGUAAAAGUACAUUAGAUUACAACUAGGCUGAAAAAGUUCAAUUUUAUUGAUAUGAAACUUUAACCAAUAUAUACAGGUACAAAUGUACAUGUACAUUGUAUACAUAGCAUUUGUUACUCUAUAUCAUAUAUGUAUAAGGUGAAUCAAUGUGCUUGUUACUUUGGAUAGAGUCUUAUGAAAUGGUGAAAAUCACUGUAUCCUGGUACACAGGUUUGUCAAUAAAUGAAAACUUAAAAUUAGCAGAACCAAUUGUAAUACUAAUACAUACAUUACAACAACACUUUAAAGAGUCAAUUUCUUUUUUGAAAACUUGGAUCAGAUAAAUAUAGAAAAAUAUAUAUACUACGGUAUUUAUCAAAUCUAUUCAUAAUUCUGAGUCUGACUGUCUUCUUUCACUUUUUCCUCUCCCAAAGCAAUAAAACAAAUUUAACCGUUUCAAGUUUCGAUGUCAAAUGCUUGUUUUAGUAAACAGGCGUUGAUGACAUUUGCUUCUUAUUCUUACAAUUAUUUUAAACAUGAUCAUACAUGUACCAUUAUUAUAAUACUUUCAUUUCUGUUUUGUAGAUUUUCUAGAGGAACUACAUAUUGAGUUACAUAACAGACAUAGAGCUAUCACAGACACAGUACACAUACUGUCUUGGAAGCAGCAUUUUAUAAGAUAUCAAUAAGACAGUGGACAUACUAAAUUGUACCCUUUUGGAUGAAUUAUAGCCUAGAGAAGAUCUGAUCUUACAUUAAGGACUGGGCCAUACAUUUUUUGCCCUAACCCUACAAGUGGUUUGUUUAAAAGGGACUGAAUUGGCUUGUGUGUCUGCAUCUUUAAAGAAAAAGACUUGAUUGACUAUCUGUAAAAAAAAA
RNAcentral lists this long non-coding RNA (1127 nucleotides) under Mytilus galloprovincialis (Mediterranean mussel). The record is from RNAcentral. Lineage: Eukaryota; Metazoa; Mollusca; Bivalvia; Mytilida; Mytilidae.